RNAcentral lists this ribosomal RNA (460 nucleotides) under uncultured bacterium. RNAcentral describes it as "partial 16S ribosomal RNA". It matches the Rfam family "Bacterial small subunit ribosomal RNA", at positions 338 to 795 of the family's 1533-position model. The record is from RNAcentral.
CCUACGGGUGGCAGCAGUGAGGAAUAUUGGUCAAUGGACGAGAGUCUGAACCAGCCAAGUAGCGUGAAGGAUGACUGCCCUAUGGGUUGUAAACUUCUUUUAUAUGGGAAUAAAAUGUUCCACGUGUGGGAUUUUGUAUGUACCAUAUGAAUAAGGAUCGGCUAACUCCGUGCCAGCAGCCGCGGUAAUACGGAGGAUCCGAGCGUUAUCCGGAUUUAUUGGGUUUAAAGGGAGCGUAGGUGGAUUGUUAAGUCAGUUGUGAAAGUUUGCGGCUCAACCGUAAAAUUGCAGUUGAAACUGUGUAACUGGAGUACAGGAGGGGCAGGCGGAAUUCCUGGUGUAGCGGUGAAAUGCGUAGAUAUCAGGAGGAACACCGGCGGCGAAGGCGGCCUGCUGGACUGAAACUGACGUUGAGGCUCGAAAGCGUGGGGAGCAAACAGGAUUAGAUACCCCUGUAGUC